AACGAACGCUGGCGGCAUGCCUAACACAUGCAAGUCGAACGGGACCUUCGGGUCUAGUGGCGCACGGGUGCGUAACGCGUGGGAAUAUGCCCUUAUCUACGGAAUAAUCCUCCGAAACGGGUGCUAAUACCGGAUAAUCUCUUCGGGUCAAAGAUUUAUCGUGGUAGGAUUAGCCCGCGUUGGAUUAGGUAGUUGGUAGGGUAAUAGCCUACCAAGGCGACGAUCCAUAGCUGGUCUGAGAGGAUGAUCAGCCACACUGGGACUGAGACACGGCCCAGACUCCUACGGGAGGCAGCAGUGGGGAAUCUUAGACAAUGGGGGAAAGCCUGAUCCAGCCAUGCCGCGUGAGUGAUGAAGGCCUUAGGGUUGUAAAGCUCUUUUAGCCGGGAAGAUAAUGACGGUACCGGGAGAAGAAGCACCGGCUAACUCCGUG
Molecule: ribosomal RNA, 433 nt
Filed under: uncultured bacterium
Lineage: Bacteria
Description: partial 16S ribosomal RNA
Rfam family: Bacterial small subunit ribosomal RNA
Source: RNAcentral